CUGACCUCGGAUCAGACGUGAUUACCCGCU
Molecule: ribosomal RNA, 30 nt
Filed under: Schistosoma haematobium
Lineage: Eukaryota; Metazoa; Platyhelminthes; Trematoda; Strigeidida; Schistosomatidae
Description: partial 28S ribosomal RNA
Source: RNAcentral